CCUACGGGAGGCAGCAGUGGGGAAUAUUGGACAAUGGGCGAAAGCCUGAUCCAGCCAUGCCGCGUGUGUGAAGAAGGCCUUCGGGUUGUAAAGCACUUUCAGUGGGGAAGAAAGCCUUGGGGCUAAUACCCUCGAGGAAGGACAUCACCCACAGAAGAAGCACCGGCUAACUCCGUGCCAGCAGCCGCGGUAAUACGGAGGGUGCGAGCGUUAAUCGGAAUUACUGGGCGUAAAGCGCGCGUAGGCGGUCUGAUAAGCCGGUUGUGAAAGCCCCGGGCUCAACCUGGGAACGGCAUCCGGAACUGUCAGGCUAGAGUGCAGGAGAGGAAGGUAGAAUUCCCGGUGUAGCGGUGAAAUGCGUAGAGAUCGGGAGGAAUACCAGUGGCGAAGGCGGCCUUCUGGACUGACACUGACGCUGAGGUGCGAAAGCGUGGGUAGCAAACAGGAUUAGAUACCGGGAGUC
RNAcentral lists this ribosomal RNA (463 nucleotides) under Vreelandella stevensii. RNAcentral's name for it is "partial 16S ribosomal RNA". It matches the Rfam family "Bacterial small subunit ribosomal RNA", at positions 338 to 795 of the family's 1533-position model. Lineage: Bacteria; Pseudomonadati; Pseudomonadota; Gammaproteobacteria; Oceanospirillales; Halomonadaceae. The record is from RNAcentral.